RNAcentral lists this unclassified non-coding RNA (21 nucleotides) under Mus musculus (house mouse). RNAcentral's name for it is "oocyte_clustered_small_RNA3407". Lineage: Eukaryota; Metazoa; Chordata; Mammalia; Rodentia; Muridae. The record is from RNAcentral.
UUAUUGCUUAAGCAUAGAUAU